RNAcentral lists this transfer RNA (31 nucleotides) under Blechnum penna-marina. RNAcentral describes it as "Austroblechnum penna-marina partial tRNA-Phe". The record is from RNAcentral. Lineage: Eukaryota; Viridiplantae; Streptophyta; Polypodiopsida; Polypodiales; Blechnaceae.
GCCGAGAUAGCUCAGUCGGUAGAGCAGAGGA